RNAcentral lists this ribosomal RNA (249 nucleotides) under uncultured Dolichospermum sp. Its description in RNAcentral is "partial 16S ribosomal RNA". It matches the Rfam family "Bacterial small subunit ribosomal RNA", at positions 355 to 618 of the family's 1533-position model. Lineage: Bacteria; Bacillati; Cyanobacteriota; Cyanophyceae; Nostocales; Aphanizomenonaceae. The record is from RNAcentral.
UGGGGAAUUUUCCGCAAUGGGCGAAAGCCUGACGGAGCAAUACCGCGUGAGGGAGGAAGGCUCUUGGGUUGUAAACCUCUUUUCUCAGGGAAGAACAGAAUGACGGUACCUGAGGAAUAAGCAUCGGCUAACUCCGUGCCAGCAGCCGCGGUAAUACGGAGGAUGCAAGCGUUAUCCGGAAUGAUUGGACGUAAAGGGUCCGCAGGUGGCAUAGUAAGUCUGCUGUUAAAGAGUCACGCUCAACGUGAU